RNAcentral lists this unclassified non-coding RNA (190 nucleotides) under uncultured fungus. RNAcentral describes it as "sequence contains ITS1". Lineage: Eukaryota; Fungi. The record is from RNAcentral.
UUAACUAUUAUAUAGUACUCAGACAUCACUAAAAACAGAGUUUGUUUCCUCUGGCAGGCACGCAUCAGCCGGAGCCUCUGGUGUUUCCACGGCCUGCCAAAGCAACGAAGGUAUAAUAUUCAAGGGUGGGAGAUCUACCCGUGAGGGCAUGAACUCUGUAAUGAUCCUUCCGCAGGUUCACCUACGGAAA